GACAAAUAAGGGCAUUCCAGCAUACACUGGGGCUUUUUAAAAAUCCCUUUUUUUAACCAUGCAGCAACAAGUGGCAGAAUCAAUGGUGUACAGUUAUUCAGCAAUGUAAUUCAUUUCACUGGCUUUGGCUCCUAGCCAGAUCCGCCAUCUGUCUCUAGCUCUCCCUCUCCCCCUUCUCUCCCUCUCCCUCUCUUUCGCUUGAAUUUGUCCUACAUUUCGUAAUGUUACGUGCCUGCCAUCCUUAUCCUAUGCCAGAGGUACAACACCAGUCUCACCCCCAUUCCAGCGUGGAGUUCUCUGAGUUCGGUGGCACUUGGGAUAUUCCACUUCAGUGCCAUGGGAAGAAAAUGCUUCAGCCAUGAUUGCAAGUCUCCUGAGAUGUCCCCAGAAGCAGAAGCCUGUAGAGCCCACAGAACAGUGAGCACAUUAAAACUCUUUUCUUUGUAAAUUACCCAAUCUCAGGUAUGUCUUUAUAGCAGUGCAAGAACA
RNAcentral lists this long non-coding RNA (489 nucleotides) under Callithrix jacchus (white-tufted-ear marmoset). RNAcentral describes it as "lncRNA (ENSCJAG00000072172.1)". The record is from RNAcentral. Lineage: Eukaryota; Metazoa; Chordata; Mammalia; Primates; Cebidae.